This 405-nucleotide ribosomal RNA is filed under the name uncultured bacterium. RNAcentral's name for it is "bacterial SSU rRNA". It matches the Rfam family "Bacterial small subunit ribosomal RNA", at positions 30 to 439 of the family's 1533-position model. The record is from RNAcentral.
AUUGAACGCUGGCGGCAGGCCUAACACAUGCAAGUCGAACGGUAACAGAACUAGCUUGCUAGUUGCUGACGAGUGGCGGACGGGUGAGUAAUACUUAGGGAUCUGCCUUUGGGAGGGGGAUAACCAUUGGAAACGAUGGCUAAUACCGCAUAACGUCUACGGACCAAAGGGGGCUUCGGCUCUCACCUGAAGAGGAACCUAAGCGAGAUUAGCUAGUUGGUGGGGUAAAGGCUCACCAAGGCGACGAUCUCUAGCUGUUCUGAGAGGAAGAUCAGCCACACUGGGACUGAGACACGGCCCAGACUCCUACGGGAGGCAGCAGUGGGAAUUUCCGCAAUGGGCGAAAGCCUGACGGAGCAAGACCGCGUGGGGGAGGAAGGUUUUUGGAUCGUAAACCCCUUUUGU